GACAGAGGGGGCAAGCGUUGCUCGGAAUUACUGGGCGUAAAGGGCGCGUAGGCGGGAUGGCAAGUCGGUCGUGAAAUCCCUCGGCUCAACUGAGGAGCGUCGAUCGAAACUGCCGUUCUUGAGGGUUGCAGAGGAGACUGGAAUUCCCGGUGUAGCGGUGAAAUGCGUAGAUAUCUGGAGGAACACCGGUGGCGAAGGCGGCAUCCUGGACCAAUAUUGACGCUGAGGAGCGAAAGCCAGGGGAGCAAACGGG
RNAcentral lists this ribosomal RNA (253 nucleotides) under uncultured bacterium. RNAcentral describes it as "partial 16S ribosomal RNA". It matches the Rfam family "Bacterial small subunit ribosomal RNA", at positions 524 to 776 of the family's 1533-position model. The record is from RNAcentral.